RNAcentral lists this ribosomal RNA (2910 nucleotides) under Klebsiella pneumoniae. RNAcentral describes it as "23S ribosomal RNA". It matches the Rfam family "Bacterial large subunit ribosomal RNA". Lineage: Bacteria; Pseudomonadati; Pseudomonadota; Gammaproteobacteria; Enterobacterales; Enterobacteriaceae. The record is from RNAcentral.
GGGUUGUGAGGUUAAGCGACUAAGCGUACACGGUGGAUGCCCUGGCAGUCAGAGGCGAUGAAGGACGUGCUAAUCUGCGAAAAGCGUCGGUAAGGUGAUAUGAACCGUUAUAACCGGCGAUGUCCGAAUGGGGAAACCCAGUGUGAUUCGUCACACUAUCGUUAACUGAAUACAUAGGUUAACGAGGCGAACCGGGGGAACUGAAACAUCUAAGUACCCCGAGGAAAAGAAAUCAACCGAGAUUCCCCCAGUAGCGGCGAGCGAACGGGGAGCAGCCCAGAGUCUGAAUCAGCUUGUGUGUUAGUGGAACGGUCUGGAAAGUCCGACGGUACAGGGUGAUAGUCCCGUACACCAAAAUGCACAGGUUGUGAACUCGAAGAGUAGGGCGGGACACGUGGUAUCCUGUCUGAAUAUGGGGACCAUCCUCCAAGGCUAAAUACUCCUGACUGACCGAUAGUGAACCAGUACCGUGAGGGAAAGGCGAAAAGAACCCCGGCGAGGGGAGUGAAAAAGAACCUGAAACCGUGUACGUACAAGCAGUGGGAGCACCUUCGGGUGUGACUGCGUACCUUUGUAUAAUGGGUCAGCGACUUAUAUUCUGUAGCAAGGUUAACCGUAUAGGGAGCCGCAGGGAAACCGAGUCUUAACUGGGCGUUAAGUUGCAGGGUAUAGACCCGAAACCCGGUGAUCUAGCCAUGGGCAGGUUGAAGGUUGGGUAACACUAACUGGAGGACCGAACCGACUAAUGUUGAAAAAUUAGCGGAUGACUUGUGGCUGGGGUGAAAGGCCAAUCAAACCGGGAGAUAGCUGGUUCUCCCGAAAGCUAUUUAGGUAGCGCCUCGUGAACUCAUCUUCGGGGUAGAGCACUGUUUCGGCUAGGGGUCAUCCCGACUUACCAACCCGAUGCAAACUACGAAUACCGAAGAAUGUUAUCACGGGAGACACACGGCGGGUGCUAACGUCCGUCGUGAAGAGGAAACAACCCAGACCGCCAGCUAAGGUCCCAAAGUCAUGGUUAAGUGGGAAACGAUGUGGGAAGGCACAGACAGCCGUGAUGUUGGCUUAGAAGCAGCCAUCAUUUAAAGAAAGCGUAAUAGCUCACUGGUCGAGUCGGCCUGCGCGGAAGAUGUAACGGGGCUAAACCAUGCACCGAAGCUGCGGCAGCGACACUAUGUGUUGUUGGGUAGGGGAGCGUUCUGUAAGCCUGCGAAGGUGACCUGUGAGGGUUGCUGGAGGUAUCAGAAGUGCGAAUGCUGACAUAAGUAACGAUAAAGCGGGUGAAAAGCCCGCUCGCCGGAAGACCAAGGGUUCCUGUCCAACGUUAAUCGGGGCAGGGUGAGUCGACCCUAAGGCGAGGCCGAAAGGCGUAGUCGAUGGGAAACAGGUUAAUAUUCCUGUACUUGGUGUUACUGCGAAGGGGACGGAGAAGGCUAUGUUAGCCGGGCGACGGUUGUCCCGGUUUAAGCAUGUAGGCUGGUUAUCCGUGCAAAUCCGGAUAAUCAAGGCUGAGGUGUGAUGACGAGGCACUACGGUGCUGAAGUAACAAAUGCCCUGCUUCCGUGAAAAGCCUCUAAGCAUCAGGUAACAUCAAAUCGUACCCCAAACCGACACAGGUGGUCAGGUAGAGAAUACCAAGGCGCUUGAGAGAACUCGGGUGAAGGAACUAGGCAAAAUGGUGCCGUAACUUCGGGAGAAGGCACGCUGGUGUGUAGGUGAAGUCCCUGCGGAUGGAGCUGAGACCAGUCGAAGAUACCAGCUGGCUGCAACUGUUUAUUAAAACACAGCACUGUGCAAACACGAAAGUGGACGUAUACGGUGUGACGCCUGCCCGGUGCCGGAAGGUUAAUUGAUGGGGUUAUCCGUAAGGAGAAGCUCUUGAUCGAAGCCCCGGUAAACGGCGGCCGUAACUAUAACGGUCCUAAGGUAGCGAAAUUCCUUGUCGGGUAAGUUCCGACCUGCACGAAUGGCGUAAUGAUGGCCAGGCUGUCUCCACCCGAGACUCAGUGAAAUUGAACUCGCUGUGAAGAUGCAGUGUACCCGCGGCAAGACGGAAAGACCCCGUGAACCUUUACUAUAGCUUGACACUGAACAUUGAGCCUUGAUGUGUAGGAUAGGUGGGAGGCUUUGAAGCGUGGACGCCAGUCUGCGUGGAGCCAACCUUGAAAUACCACCCUUUAAUGUUUGAUGUUCUAACGUUGGCCCCUGACCGGGGUUGCGGACAGUGUCUGGUGGGUAGUUUGACUGGGGCGGUCUCCUCCCAAAGCGUAACGGAGGAGCACGAAGGUUAGCUAAUCCUGGUCGGACAUCAGGAGGUUAGUGCAAUGGCAUAAGCUAGCUUGACUGCGAGCGUGACGGCGCGAGCAGGUGCGAAAGCAGGUCAUAGUGAUCCGGUGGUUCUGAAUGGAAGGGCCAUCGCUCAACGGAUAAAAGGUACUCCGGGGAUAACAGGCUGAUACCGCCCAAGAGUUCAUAUCGACGGCGGUGUUUGGCACCUCGAUGUCGGCUCAUCACAUCCUGGGGCUGAAGUAGGUCCCAAGGGUAUGGCUGUUCGCCAUUUAAAGUGGUACGCGAGCUGGGUUUAGAACGUCGUGAGACAGUUCGGUCCCUAUCUGCCGUGGGCGCUGGAGAAUUGAGGGGGGCUGCUCCUAGUACGAGAGGACCGGAGUGGACGCAUCACUGGUGUUCGGGUUGUCAUGCCAAUGGCACUGCCCGGUAGCUAAAUGCGGAAGAGAUAAGUGCUGAAAGCAUCUAAGCACGAAACUUGCCCCGAGAUGAGUUCUCCCUGAGACUAUAAGUCUCCUGAAGGAACGUUGAAGACGACGACGUUGAUAGGCCGGGUGUGUAAGCGCAGCGAUGCGUUGAGCUAACCGGUACUAAUGAACCGUGAGGCUUAACCUUACAACGCCGAAG